UAUGGCAGAUAUUAUGUAAUGGA
Molecule: transfer RNA, 23 nt
Filed under: Trichoplusia ni (cabbage looper)
Lineage: Eukaryota; Metazoa; Arthropoda; Insecta; Lepidoptera; Noctuidae
Description: partial tRNA-Leucine
Source: RNAcentral